RNAcentral lists this long non-coding RNA (358 nucleotides) under Lathyrus oleraceus (garden pea). RNAcentral's name for it is "Pisum sativum (pea) long non-coding RNA (PSAT_LNC026906)". The record is from RNAcentral. Lineage: Eukaryota; Viridiplantae; Streptophyta; Magnoliopsida; Fabales; Fabaceae.
UUUCAAGAUUAGUGGAUUAAGUCCUUUUUGAAGGCGAAAUCACCUUGGUCGGGUGGACUGGAGUAGCUUUGUAUUAAUCUUUCAAGAUUAGUGGAUUAAGUCCUUUUUGAAGGCGAAAUCACCUUGGUCGGGUGGACUGGAGUAGCUUUGUGUUAUAAGCGAACCAGUAUAAAAUUCUGUGUGUUCUUACUUUUGAAAAAACUUUUAAUUUAUAAAACAAUUCAAACCCUCCUUUCUUGUUUUUCUCACCUUCAAUUUGACUGUGCUAAAGAUACACUAUAUUGGUGACUCGUCAGACUCAUGCAUUAUCUAAGACACUUAUACUAAAAGCAAAAUGAAAUAAAGUAAACAACUAAAA